Molecule: non-coding RNA, 103 nt
Organism: Xylaria venustula
Lineage: Eukaryota; Fungi; Ascomycota; Sordariomycetes; Xylariales; Xylariaceae
Source: the annotation of a GenBank genome assembly
GGCCUCGUGGCCCAAUGGCAAGGCGUCUGACUACGAUGAGUUGAGUCUGUAAAGACCCGAUGUCGCUAUCAGGAGAUUCUGGGUUCGACCCCCAGCGAGGUCA